GGGAGGCAGCAGUAAGGAAUAUUGGUCAAUGGGGGCAAGCCUGAACCAGCCAUGCCGCGUGCAGGAAGACGGCCCUACGGGUUGUAAACUGCUUUUGUACCGGAAUAAACCCUUUUACGUGUAAGAGGCUGAAUGUACGGUAAGAAUAAGGAUCGGCUAACUCCGUGCCAGCAGCCGCGGUAAUACGGAGGAUCCAAGCGUUAUCCGGAUUUAUUGGGUUUAAAGGGUGCGUAGGCGGCUUUUUAAGUCAGGGGUGAAAGACGGUAGCUUAACUAUCGCAGUGCCUUUGAUACUGAAGAGCUUGAAUGAACCUGAGGUAGGCGGAAUGUGACAAGUAGCGGUGAAAUGCAUAGAUAUGUCACAGAACACCAAUUGCGAAGGCAGCUUACUAAAGUUUAAUUGACGCUGAGGCACGAAAGCGUGGGGAUCAAACAGGAUUAGAUACCCUGGUAGUCCACGCCCUAAACGAUGAACACUCGAUGUUGGCGAUAUACAGUCAGCGUC
RNAcentral lists this ribosomal RNA (504 nucleotides) under uncultured Mucilaginibacter sp. RNAcentral's name for it is "bacterial SSU rRNA". It matches the Rfam family "Bacterial small subunit ribosomal RNA", at positions 343 to 847 of the family's 1533-position model. Lineage: Bacteria; Pseudomonadati; Bacteroidota; Sphingobacteriia; Sphingobacteriales; Sphingobacteriaceae. The record is from RNAcentral.